GACGAACGCUGGCGGCGUGCUUAACACAUGCAAGUCGAGCGGUAAGGCCCUUCGGGGUACACGAGUGGCGAACGGGUGAGUAACACGUGGGUGAUCUGCCCUGCACUUCGGGAUAAGCCUGGGAAACUGGGUCUAAUACCGGAUAGGACUCCUGGCUUCAUGGUUGGGGGUGGAAAGCUUUUGCGGUGUGGGAUGGGCCCGCGGCCUAUCAGUUUGUUGGUGGGGUAAUGGCCUACCAAGGCGACGACGGGUAGCCGGCCGGAGAGGGUGACCGGUCAGACUGGGACUGGGAGAGGGCCCAGAACCCAGCGGGGGGAGGCGGUGGGGAAUAUUGCACAAGGGGCGCAAGCCGGAGGCAGCGACGCGGCGUGGGGGAUGACGGCCUUCGGGUUGUAAACCUCUUUCAGCUAUGACGAAGCGCAAGUGACGGUAGUAGCAGAAGAAGGACCGGCCAACUACGUGCCAGCAGCCGCCGUAA
RNAcentral lists this ribosomal RNA (478 nucleotides) under uncultured bacterium. RNAcentral's name for it is "partial 16S ribosomal RNA". It matches the Rfam family "Bacterial small subunit ribosomal RNA", at positions 28 to 523 of the family's 1533-position model. The record is from RNAcentral.